This 2488-nucleotide long non-coding RNA is filed under the name Olea europaea subsp. europaea. Lineage: Eukaryota; Viridiplantae; Streptophyta; Magnoliopsida; Lamiales; Oleaceae. The record is from RNAcentral.
CUUUUAUCCCCCAUCCUACCCCUCCAAAAAAAGCAUGGAAGGUUAAGGGAAAAGGGGGGUGGGGGGAUAGUAAAUGGAAACAUACCUUAUUUCUGCACUAAAGUUUUUGAUGCAAAACAUCUCCCAAUAGUAGUGGAGGCACUGAAAGAAGGCGCUUCCUUUCAUGCAGUCAGCUCAUGUCAAAUUCACUUGAUUUUGUGUCCGUGGUGCUGAUGCUGGAUCCUGAUGAAUAAAAAUGUAUUAUCUUCACAUGAAGUAAUAUGGGAUUUAGGAAUUAUUUGUCUGAAGUGGCAUGGGGGACUUGGUCUAUAGAUUCAAGAUUUGGUUCAGCAAUGAUUGAUCACUAGUGGAGUCUUUAUCUUCUGAAGACAUCCGUUUGAGAAAUAUCAACAAACUAGAAUCAUUUUAACCUUGGUACAGUGUGUGAAUUCUUUUGUAGUUGUCAUCUAUUUGUAACUUAUGCUGCCUUUGCAUUUCUUACUUGCACGCAUGACUGAAAUCAAUUAAGAAAUCCUGUGGAUAUACCUAGCAUUGAAGCUUGUUAUAGCCAUAUGAAAACUCUUGUUCUUUUCAAAACAUGGUCAGGAACCACUUUCUUGGCUCGUGGGUUCAGAUGUCGUAGUGGUUGAUCCUCCCCGGAAGGGGCUGGAUCUGUCUCUGCUGGAUACACUACGGUCUCUGUCAUCUUUGGAGCUCAAAGCCAAUCUUCCUGAAAGGUGUGGAACUUAGAUGGAUUCCUCACUUCUAAUUCUAAAUGUGCAAUCUCUAUUGGGUGGCAGAAACUAAAAAGUGAUAUGUUUGUGUGCUUACCCUUCAUUGGUUAUUCCAGUACCGGUGGGAAGGUAAAAAAUGAAAAAAGACCAUGGAUUCUGAGAGAGAGAGAAACUUCAGUGCAGGUUAAGAGCAGCACAGUACAAGAAGAAAGUCGGUCCUUGCCUGAAACUCUAAUUUAUAUAAGUUGUGGAUGGGAUAGUUUUAAAGAGGUGUGUUUACCCUUACUUCUCAUAGUUUAAAGAGCUGCUAAAUAAUAAAGAAAAAGUUUAAUCUUUAUUCAGUUGUUUGAUUUUUAGCUAGGCAAAAGUGUCACUGUCUGCUUGAGCUUCUAUUGCUGCCAUUUAACUUACAGGAUUGCAUGUCACUGCUCUCUUGUAAGGCCUGGUAUUUGGACAAAGCACAUGGCUUCAAUUUUUUCCCUGGAACACAAAGGUAUUCAUACCUCUCUCUCUCUCUCUCUCUCUCUCUCUCUCUCUCUCUCUCUCUCUCUAGCAUGUUAGAUAAGGAGGAUCGUAUAGAUUUGGACAAUACUAAAUAGGAAAAAGAAGCUAAAAAUCUUGUUCAUUAUAGUGUCCAAGCAUGUCCUGUACCAAAAAUGCACUUCAUGUGACCAAUGAAGCCAAGGCCUAGUUCAAGUAGCAAGACUGGAGCCUUCCCAGGUCAAUGGACUAGAUUCUAGCCUCCUUUUGUGGGGUGAAAUCCUUUAUCCCCCUUCUAAACCGGGGAGCCAAUAGAAGGUUUGAAUCGUCCCAUCUCCCAUGCCUUCUAGAAUUUGUGGGGUGCAAUCCUUUAUCCCCCUUCUUAAAAAAAAAAAAAAUGAGGAACUAAUAGAAGGUUUGAAUUGUCCCAUCUCCCAUGCCUCCUGAAACUUAUCCCUUAAUUUUAGUAGUUUGCCUUGUUUGUUGUACUUUUGAGUCAACCCUACCCAGUUGAGAAGAAGAGGGUCAGCCAAACUGCAAUCCACUUUGUACAUAUGCUGAGACCAAUCAAUCAUUUUAAAAUAGGAAAAGGAGCGGUGACCACUGAGGAUGGUCUAAUUAUUCAGUUUAUUGUGGGAUUGGGGUGCCUUGCGGGGUUUGCCACGAAGAGAAAGAUCCAUUCUCUGGGUUAUCUUACCAUGAGGAUUUUCUUUUCUGGAAAUAUGCUAUAUUCACAUGUUUGUGUUGCAUCAGCUAAUGACUCUGUUCUUUUAUUCAUUGGACUAAUUGUUUGGUUCCUAAUUUACCAAUCAAAUGCACUAUUAUUAAUGUAGCAUUGAGGUCCUGGCCGUGUUUAAAAGAGGCACUAAACCAAACAUCAAGAGAAGAAAAUCUGGAAAAAAGAAAAGGCCCUCUUGAGGUGCACUAUUUCAUCCUGUCGAGUAUUACGAGGGAUAAAAUGCUUCUCAUGAAAAGCCUAAAGAGAUGGUAUGGAGUAAAUGCACAACGAAAAGGAAGAAUAUCUAUUCAGUCACAUUUGAAUAGAAAGAAGUUCCAGACUGCAGUCUACACUGCCCUUAUGGAAAAAUAUUUUUUAUUUAGGCUGCUGGAUCUAACGAAAUAUAUAUACGAUAAACUGCACAUGUUUCAGAUAUUAUUUUGUAAUGAUGAACAUUUUAUGCACCCAUGGUUCCUUUUAUCCUUGUGAAAUUGGGACUAAGAGUAACAUUUUGUUAAAUUUAUUAAAAGCUUUUGCCAGAAGAAAAUGAACUUAUAGCACCUUAGCAAUUGAAUAG